This 497-nucleotide ribosomal RNA is filed under the name uncultured bacterium. RNAcentral describes it as "partial 16S ribosomal RNA". It matches the Rfam family "Bacterial small subunit ribosomal RNA", at positions 28 to 507 of the family's 1533-position model. The record is from RNAcentral.
GAUGAACGCUGGCGGCGUGCUUAAUACAUGCAAGUCGAGCGAACGGACGAGAAGCUUGCUUUUCUGAUGUUAGCGGCGGACGGGUGAGUAACACGUGGAUAACCUACCUAUAAGACUGGGAUAACUUCGGGAAACCGGAUCUAAUACCGGAUAAUAUUUUGAACCGCAUGGUGCAAAAGUGAAAGACGGUCUUUCUGUCACUUAUAGAUGGAUCCGCGCUGCAUUGUCUGGUUGGUAAGGUAACGGCUUUGCAAGGCAACGAUGCACAUCCGACCUGAGCGGGUGAUCGGCCACAUGGGAACUGGACCAGGGUCCAGAGUACUGAGAGAGGGCGCAGAAGGGAACGGUCGGCAGUAGGGGAAAGUAUGACAGAGCAGGGCGACGUGAGUUGUAGAGGUGCUCGGAGCGGAAAACUGUGUUAUGGGGGAAAAACAUAUGUGUAAGUAGAUGAAGAGAUCGUGACGGUACCUAAUCAAGAAGCCACGGCUAACUACGUG